AUCCGGGCUACACGCGGGCUACAAGUGGUCAAGGACAAUGGGUAUCGACACCGAGAGGUGGAGGCAAUCUACCUAAACCUGUCCUUAGUUCGGAUUGUGGGCUGCAACUCGCCCACAUGAAGCUGGAAUCCGUAGUAAUCGCGUUUCAAAAUAGCGCGGUGAAUAUGUCCCUGCUCCGUU
Molecule: ribosomal RNA, 180 nt
Filed under: uncultured Methanolinea sp.
Lineage: Archaea; Methanobacteriati; Methanobacteriota; Methanomicrobia; Methanomicrobiales; Methanoregulaceae
Description: partial 16S ribosomal RNA
Rfam family: Archaeal small subunit ribosomal RNA
Source: RNAcentral